UCGGGAAUAUUGCGCAAUGGAGGAAACUCUGACGCAGUGACGCCGCGUAUGGGAAGAAGGUUUUCGGAUUGUAAACCAUUUUAGACAAGGAAGAAAAAAGGACAGUACUUGUAGAAUAAGCUCCGGCUAACUACGUGCCAGCAGCCGCGGUAAUACGUAGGGAGCAAGCGUUAUCCGGAUUUAUUGGGUGUAAAGGGUGCGUAGACGGGAAGGUAAGUUAGUUGUGAAAUCCCUCGGCUCAACUGAGGAACUGCGACUAAACUGUUUUUCUUGAGUACUGGAGAGGAAAGUGGAAUUCCUAGUGUAGCGGUGAAAUGCGUAGAUAUUAGGAGGAACACCAGUGGCGAAGGCGACUUUCUGGACAGUAACUGACGUUGAGGCACGAAAGUGUGGGGUAGCAAACAGGAUUAGAUACC
Molecule: ribosomal RNA, 416 nt
Filed under: uncultured bacterium
Lineage: Bacteria
Description: bacterial SSU rRNA
Rfam family: Bacterial small subunit ribosomal RNA
Source: RNAcentral